Molecule: ribosomal RNA, 253 nt
Filed under: uncultured Domibacillus sp.
Lineage: Bacteria; Bacillati; Bacillota; Bacilli; Caryophanales; Bacillaceae
Description: partial 16S ribosomal RNA
Rfam family: Bacterial small subunit ribosomal RNA
Source: RNAcentral
UACGUAGGUGGCAAGCGUUGUCCGGAAUUAUUGGGCGUAAAGCGCGCGCAGGCGGUCUUUUAAGUCUGAUGUGAAAGCCCCCGGCUCAACCGGGGAGGGUCAUUGGAAACUGGAGGACUUGAGUGCAGAAGAGAAGAGCGGAAUUCCACGUGUAGCGGUGAAAUGCGUAGAGAUGUGGAGGAACACCAGUGGCGAAGGCGGCUCUUUGGUCUGUAACUGACGCUGAGGCGCGAAAGCGUGGGGAGCAAACAGG